AUACUACCUGGCAAGGGAGACACCGUGAACAGAAGGCGGUUCACCCAGGCGAGGCUCAGCCAUUGCACUCCGGCUUUGCUGACCCUGCGAAUUUCUCAAUGUGGAAACUCGAUGCAUAAUUUCUGGUAGUGGGGGACUGCGUUCGCGCUCUCCCCUC
Molecule: small nuclear RNA, 157 nt
Filed under: Oncorhynchus tshawytscha (Chinook salmon)
Lineage: Eukaryota; Metazoa; Chordata; Actinopteri; Salmoniformes; Salmonidae
Description: U1 spliceosomal RNA
Rfam family: U1 spliceosomal RNA
About the family: U1 is a small nuclear RNA (snRNA) component of the spliceosome (involved in pre-mRNA splicing). Its 5' end forms complementary base pairs with the 5' splice junction, thus defining the 5' donor site of an intron.
Source: Rfam by way of RNAcentral